UACGUAGGUGGCAAGCGUUGUCCGGAUUUACUGGGCGUAAAGAGCGCGCAGGCGGUCGGUCAAGUCGCGUGUGAAAGCCCCCGGCUCAACUGGGGAGGGUCAGCGCGAUACUGAUCGACUCGAAGGCAGGAGAGGGUAGUGGAAUUCCCGGUGUAGUGGUGAAAUGCGUAGAUAUCGGGAGGAACACCAGUGGCGAAGGCGACUACCUGGCCUGUUCUUGACGCUGAGGCGCGAAAGCUAGGGGAGCAAACGGG
RNAcentral lists this ribosomal RNA (254 nucleotides) under uncultured bacterium. RNAcentral describes it as "partial 16S ribosomal RNA". It matches the Rfam family "Bacterial small subunit ribosomal RNA", at positions 524 to 776 of the family's 1533-position model. The record is from RNAcentral.